GAUGAACGCUAGCGGCAGGCCUAACACAUGCAAGUCGAGGGGUAGAAGGAGCUUGCUCCUUUGAGACCGGCGCACGGGUGCGUAACGCGUAUGCAAUCUACCUUGUACAGGGGAAUAGCCCAGAGAAAUUUGGAUUAAUGCCCCAUAGUAUAUAACCUUCGCAUGUUGGUUAUAUUAAAGUUCCAACGGUACAAGAUGAGCAUGCGUCCCAUUAGUUAGUUGGUAAGGUAACGGCUUACCAAGACGAUGAUGGGUAGGGGUCCUGAGAGGGAGAUCCCCCACACUGGUACUGGGACACGGACCAGACUCCUACGGGAGGCAGCAGUGAGGAAUAUUGGUCAAUGGUCGCAAGACUGAACCGGCCAUGCCGCGUGCAGGAAGACGGUCCUAUGGAUUGUAAACUGCUUUUAUACAGGAAGAAACCCUCCCACGUGUGGGAGCUGGACGGUACUGUAGGAAUAAGGAUCGGCUAACUCCGU
This 479-nucleotide ribosomal RNA is filed under the name uncultured bacterium. RNAcentral describes it as "partial 16S ribosomal RNA". It matches the Rfam family "Bacterial small subunit ribosomal RNA", at positions 28 to 506 of the family's 1533-position model. The record is from RNAcentral.